Rattus norvegicus (Norway rat) is the source of this 2617-nucleotide non-coding RNA. The record is from RefSeq and is a predicted model, not a curated record. Lineage: Eukaryota; Metazoa; Chordata; Mammalia; Rodentia; Muridae.
UUAGCCAAUAGAAGCGUGCAGAGCCUUCCGACUGACAGCCGCUGCCCGCCCCGGGGCCACUUGGCUAGCCAAUCAGACCAAGGCGGUUCCUUUGUGCUAUUCAAAUAACGAACGGACCCCGGGCCUCCAACGCCGCCGCUGCCUCGAAUGUUCUCCUGGGGCCGCGGCACCUCGUGGGACUCGGAGCCUCCGAGGUCGUGGCUCUCAGUUUUGGGUCGCCUCUUUGGAGCCGCGUGGAAACUCGUAGCUACCCUGGACCUGGCUGCUGCGAGCUGGGGGUCGGCUCACCUGAGCGCAGCGAAGAUGGCUCCGCCCCCUUCCGCAUGGUUGGGCCUCACCUGCCGCAGGUGCGCGCGGUUCCCCGUUUCGGGCCACGCGGCGCCUCCUCUUUUCCACCUGCCACGGCCGGGGGUAACCUGGGCGAGCUGAGUCUUCUUCCGAGAAAGGCUGGUGGUGAGGGGGCGCACCUGGGAUCUAGGGUAUCUUCUUGGAAGAGAGAGUUUGGGGCUUGAUUACCUGAUUAGUCCAGGGGCCUCUGGGAAUUGUCAAGGAAAGGCCUCCCCUCUGUUUGACUCAAAAUCCAGUGAAUUUUGAUCUCUAGUAGAGAAGCUUUGUGAUCGUGAGCCUACCCAGGUUGCGGUGGGGGGUGGGGGGGUGGGGUAUUGGGCCAUGAACCCGCCUCAAGCUUCCUCUCCCUUAGGGUGACCUCUUCUUUCCCAACUUAAUAUCAAUGACAGUAGAAGCCCUUACUAAGUGCCUAGCUUGGACCUGUCACCUGAAUUCCUCUCUCAAGGUUCUUGGAGCCCAGGCUUGAGACCCGCUUGAGUGGAGCAACCUGUUAUGAUUUGGUCGCAAUCCUGAGCCCCAGGAGUACCCAGGCCACGGUCUUUUCGAUUUUUAUGUCCUUAUUCUGAGUUAUCUACCAACCAAUUGGACACAGACAUUAGAAAAAGAGAAGAUAUCUAGGAGUCUCUUUUUGCAUUGAGAAGCUUAAAGAGAGUAAGGGGUGUGGAGCGGGGUGGGGUGGGGGAUGAUACAAGAUGCCAGCCAGAAGCUGCAUCCACAGUGUUCAAAGUUCCUUUUGGUACCUAAGUCAGAAAAUUGGCCCAGGAAGAGUCCAGGACUGGGCCCUUGUGGGGCAAGCAGCAUCCACAGAGAUGACUGAUGGCAAAUCAAAGGCUCUUCUGAAACUUUUUGUCUUUGGACCCUCUCAGCACUUCUGUCCCAUGGCUGCUGUCUUAAGGAAAAGAACUCAUGAAUUGUUUAAGUUUUGGCAAGUGUCAAAAGCAGGGAACAGUUUGCUCAGGUUUUCAGAUGAGGAAGCUUGGACACUAGCUCUAAAGAGACUUUGUCGGAGAUCACAGGCUCCAGGCACAGUGCUCUCUGCUCCAUCUGGGAAGUUGUAACUGUUACAACAGCUCUCCUCACCCUGUUUCAGAGAGGCCAGGGAUACACUGUGGGGCUGGGGGUGGGGGUGGGGGUGGGGGUGGGCGCUCAGAACAAGCAGGCUUGACUGGCAUCCUUUUGGCGGUGGGGCGGUGGGGAUAUACCCUCAUGAAUCCUGGGGGUAUAAAGCCAUACCUCUGCCUACCUCCUGAAUAUUUACCUCAGAAGUGUACAGGUUCAGGAAGGGAGUGGGAUGCUCCCACAGCUGGGAGGACUGAGCUGGAACCCAAGGAGUCUGUGGCUCACAAUGCGCGCUGUCCUUUCCCAGUAUUUACUGAAGAAACUUGAGACUUGAGAGAGUUGGUGGCAUGAUUUGAACCCAGUUCUAUAGGUGCCUGGAAAUAUGUCAGUGGGGUCAAGUGCACUUACUCUGGCCCAUCUCCCGAUGAAUGAUUUAAUGCCCCUGACCCAUCCAUCUGUAUAUUGUUUCUUUGUUUGUUUUUGCCAAGUGCCCAGGACCAGGAUUCUCCAGAGCUCCUGGGGAGGCAGGUAUCACUCUUGGUUCCUUGCAUUCAUGGUCACUCUUAGCACUGUGACACAGAAGAUGGCUCCAGGGACCAGCCUGGGAAUGAGAGUGGGUUCAGGCCCCUCUCUUGGGCUUGGUACCCACCCAUCCCUUCCCCAGCCACCACUAUAAAGUACAAAUGAUGAAGUCUCACACUCGGAGGCAGUUGAAGCCGCCACUGAGCCGCACCCCCGGGCACCAAGAUUCCCGACAGACACUGUACCCAGUGCAGGCUGGUCAAGCCUUGUUGACCUGUUAGGUGUGGGACAGGUAAUGGUUGCCUCGCAUGCGCCAAGCCCUGAGUUCAGUCCACGCUACUACAAAAACAGAACAAAGCUAAAACAGGGAAUGGACCUGGGAAUGUGGCUCGAUGGGAGGAGCGCAGUUGCCCAGCACCUCAUGAACCAGGCACCGCGGCCCACCUGCCGUCCCAGCGCUGGGGAGCUGGAGAGAGAUGAAGGUGCCUGCAGAGGCCAGGAGAAGGCGUCGGGCCCCCUGAAGUUACAGGUGUUUGUGAAGGCUUAGCUGGGUGCCAAGAACUGAACUUGGGUCGUCUGUAAUAGGAGCAAGUGCCCUUUCCCUGAGCCAUCUCUCCAGCUGUUUUUUUCGUGUAAUAAAUACUUUUAUAAAUGUAUUUAUAAAUAAAAUACAUUUUAUUUUUGAGAA